RNAcentral lists this small RNA (121 nucleotides) under unclassified sequences. Its description in RNAcentral is "LOOT RNA". It matches the Rfam family "LOOT RNA". Rfam says of the family: Latescibacteria, OD1/Parcubacteria, OP11, TM7. Lineage (Microgenomates, aka OP11) The record is from Rfam by way of RNAcentral.
GACCUAACCCGCUAUCUGGCGGCAUGGUCGUCAAAAAUCUAUUGCGAAAUAACAGCUCGUCGUCAGAGUUUCAUUUCGUAAUAGUCGUAACUGGAGACGGUUGCGGGUAGCCUCGGCUAUC